RNAcentral lists this ribosomal RNA (484 nucleotides) under uncultured bacterium. RNAcentral's name for it is "partial 16S ribosomal RNA". It matches the Rfam family "Bacterial small subunit ribosomal RNA", at positions 28 to 507 of the family's 1533-position model. The record is from RNAcentral.
AUUGAACGCUGGCGGCAUGCUUUACACAUGCGAGUCGAACGGCAGCGCGGGCUUCGGCCUGGCGGCGAGUGGCGAACGGGUGAGUAAUGCAUCGGAAAGUGCCCAGUAGUGGGGGAUAGCCCGGCGAAAGCCGGAUUAAUACCGCAUACGACCUGAGGGUGAAAGCGGGGGACCGAAAGGCCUCGCGCCAUUGGAGCGGCCGAUGUCGGAUUAGCUAGUUGGUGGGGUAAAGGCUUACCAAGGCGACGAUCCGUAGCUGGUCUGAGAGGACGACCCGCCACACUGGGACUGAGACACGGCCCAGACUCCUACGGGAGGCAGCAGUGGGGAACUUUGGACAAUGGGGGCAACCCUGAUCCAGCCAUGCCGCGUGCGGGAAGAAGGCCUUCGGGUUGUAAACCGCUUUUGUUCGGGAAGAAAUCCUCUGGGCUAAUACCCCGGGGGGAUGACGGUACCGUAAGAAUAAGCACCGGCUAACUACGUG